RNAcentral lists this ribosomal RNA (253 nucleotides) under uncultured bacterium. RNAcentral describes it as "partial 16S ribosomal RNA". It matches the Rfam family "Bacterial small subunit ribosomal RNA", at positions 524 to 776 of the family's 1533-position model. The record is from RNAcentral.
UACGUAGGGCGCAAGCGUUAUCCGGAAUUAUUGGGCGUAAAGAGCUCGUAGGCGGUUUGUCGCGUCUGCCGUGAAAGUCCGGGGCUCAACUCCGGAUCUGCGGUGGGUACGGGCAGACUAGAGUGAUGUAGGGGAGACUGGAAUUCCUGGUGUAGCGGUGAAAUGCGCAGAUAUCAGGAGGAACACCGGUGGCGAAGGCGGGUCUCUGGGCCGAUACUGACGCUGAGGAGCGAAAGCGUGGUGAGCGAACAGG